GUUUAAUUAUUAAUUAAAGAUCUUAUUAUUAAAAAUAUAUAAAAUUUAUUUAUUAUCGGUUUUACUAAUAAGAAUAUAUGCUGAAUUCUUUAUAUCUAACAGUACUACACUCUGUAAAAGAAAAACUAUGGUAGUCACAUAUUUUAUAACAGCCAUAAAUUUGACAAUAUGAAGUAGAAACUGAGAAAAAUUAUUUUAGUGGUAAACCAAUAUCAGCUUAAAAUUGUUAUGUUUACUAUAAAGGUCCUGAUAAUCCUAUAAUGUGCAGAAAUGAUAGUUCAAAAUAUUUCAUAUUAUCAAGGUAUAAUGUCAUAGAAUACUUAGGAAUUAUUUGCUGAACCUUUAAAUUCUUCCCUCCAAUUGGAAAUUAAAUAGGAAAAUAAUAGGAAACUUGUUUUGGCUUAUUUUAAAGCUAAAUUCCUUGAUUCUUAGUGGCCUCAAAAGUGAUUUUGCAUUAAUUAAUGUUUCCCAAACAAGUUUUAGGUCUUUCCAUUAUGACCUCAUACUUGAUCAUAUCCUUGAGUUCCUUUUAAUUCCGAUCUCAUUUAGGAGAACUUCUUGACAACUUAUAAUUAAGCUGUUUAAUAAAACAUUACAGAAUCUAAAAGAUUAGCACAAUGCAGAGGAGGAUCUCAACAAAUACUUAUUGAAUGAAUAAUAAAUGUCAUUCAUGGUAAUAAAAAUUUUAAAAUUUAGUAAUAGUACCAGCUUAUUGGUACUGAUUGGAGAUUCUGUUCUGUAUUUAUUUUAUUGGUCAGUCUUGUGCCUACAUGAUGAUGAGAGUCAUGAUAAUUUCUUUCUUUCUUACCACAUUCUAAGACUCCAAAAGAAGUAACAUUGCAAGAAAUAUUACAUAGGAUUUGGAACUUGUAACAUUCUACUCAAAUAUUAAUAACAUACCAACUGUUUCUAAUGGAAAAUAAAAUGAGUAUUUAAGGAGAAUAUAAAGUACAAGCACUGUGAAGGGCAGAUAUUUAUUACUGAACCACACAGGGAGAGAAAUACAGUUUAUUUCCUCCCUAACUCCCUGACUGCAUUCUGUUGUAUUACAAACAUCAAUCAAUUAAGAUGAUUUUGUUUCUCCAGAUUUCUCACAUCCAAAGAUUUUGUAGCAUUUUAUGAGUGGGUAAACUCCACUACUAUCCAAAUUGUACUCCUUCUCAGUUAUUCAUAUUAAAUGCAUCUAUAUUCAUAAGAACUUUAUAAAAACAUUUAACAGAACUUAAAUGAAAGAUAGUCUGCUAAAUCAUAAAUAUGAAUAAUGCUACUCUGGGUUAUUAGUUCAACAAAUUGCAAUUUUGAGGAAGCCACUUAACCUCUCUGGACCUUUUUGUUUGUGUAUUUCUGUCCAGAAUUACUACUCUCUAAUCUAAGAUCUAAAUUGAUUCAUGCAUGAAUUUGAAAAUGAAAUUUUGAUGACCACCUCAAAAUAAUUUUUGGACAUAAACAUUCCUAAGAGAUUUAUUUAUUGUUUCUCUGUAUAAACAGUUAAAGCAUGAAACUGAUUAUUUAAACUAAUGGGUGGAAAAAAACAACAAUCUUGGUUCUUUAUUGGAGUGUGGAAUAUAGCAAGUGUUCAGUUAAUUAAACGUCCUUCUUUAUCUUUUUCCUCUCUAUAAUUUCCUACCCAUGUCUUUUGUAACUUGCUAUUCACUGAAAAUUUAAUUAUUUAAAGAAAAUCAAACAUAUACUGGGAAUUAUUUUAAAAUAUGCAUUUGAUGGCACUAUUCAAAUUCUUAUUUUAAUAAUCUGAAACAUUUAUUGAUACACAGAAUUCAUCCUAGGUAUAAUUUAAGUAAGCUAGAUUUAGUUUUGCUAACCCACAAUUAAUAUAUGUUCAUGUUUUGAUUUUCUUUGAAAAUAUUUUGAUUUAAAAAGAACCUUUCUCCAGUGUUUAUUGCCUUCUGUCAGUAUUACUCAAAGCAUGGUUCCUAGGUCACCUAACCUAGGGUCACCAGAGGUGAUUACUAGCAAUACAGAUUUACUGAUUCUUGGGCCCUACAGGUCCACAUAAUUGGAUUCUCUUCAAAUAAGUAGGAGGGAAACAAGAAAAACAAAAACCCACAUUAUUAAAAAGUACAUUUCCUAAGUUAUCCUGUGCCUUCUAUAUAGUUGCUGAACCAUCUUACCUAUCAUAAACCAGUCGUCCUCAAACACAUAUGUGUUAAGAACUUCCUGGAUCAGCUGCACAAGAAUCAUUUCAAAGAUUAUUUAUAAUAUACACUUUCUGAUACUCUGGAUUGGAGAUGGGACAUGGUAUGUGUAUGUUAAAAAUAUCUCCAGUUCUGAUGAGCUGGCACUUUUAAGGACUACAUUCUGCCUAUUAAAUGAAAAUUAUUUUAUACUUAAAUGACGAGAUGUUGCCUUUACUUAGUUCACCUGAAUUCGUUUUAAAUACAUUAGAGAAGUAUUUCUCCAUUUCAAGAUCCAGAACAUUCUUUAUGUGUAAUAUUUUAUGCACAAGCAUGGAACUCAUUAACUAAUUCUGUGAUCUGGGGCAGGUUAUUUACAGUCUCCAGACAUUCUUUCAAGUUGCGAGUGGCUGAUAAUAAUAGCUCUUAAAUCUGGAUGCACAACAAAAUCAUCUGGAGAGUCUUUAAAAUUGCUAGAGCUCAAGGACUAUCUCUAGAGAUCAGAUCCAAUUAGUUUGAGGAAGGACCCAGCAGGAAGAGUUGUAAGGAAUGAAUCCACAGGUAAUACUGAUGGUAAGGUCACCUCUGGGAGCCCCCACUCUACUCAUGGGAAGUCCUUAGCCUGGAGCAAUUGUUAAGAAAGGAAAGGAAACAAAAGUGUGAAAAUAUAUAUAUAUUCCACUCUUUUUAGGUUUCUAACAGCAUGUUUUUAAUUUGCAAAAUACAAGACUGGACUAGACAAUAACUAUGAUUCUUUGAAGGCACUAAACUUCAUGAUUCUGUGAUCUGCUUAUCCAUUGCUUAUAUUUAAGAGACUGCUUUCCUGGGUUCCAAAGUCCUCAAUUGAUAGGUAGAAAGAUAAAUUGCAAUUAGGGUAUGACAACAAGUUAAAGCAUAAAGAUUUUUGAUGAGCACAGAUUUAGAAUUGUAUCAGUGUUUUGCCAUUCCCUAGCUAUGUGCAAGCUACUUAAAUUCUCUUAGCCUCAUAUUUUGCAUCUGUAAAGUGGAAGCAGAAUACUCUUGAUAUGUUCUUUGUAGAACAGAUGAAAUUAUUUUCAAAUAAUUAGUUAAUAAGUGUUCUAUUAUUAUUAUUAUUAUUAUUAUUAUUAUUAUUAUUAUUACUAUUACUGAUGCUUGGGAUAGAACUCAGCACCUUGUUCAUACUAGGCAAACAUUCUACCACUGAGCUAAACCACUAGCUAUAUUAUCUUUUAUUUUUAUAAAAGAUAAUGUGAGAAGCCCAGAACCUUAUCUUCAAUUUCAGAUCUAAACCCUGAAGAUGUUAAGCGGGCAGCUGGUAAGAAUUACUGAAAAUUGAGCUAAAGGAAUAUCUUCAGAAAAGAAAAAGAGUGUGGAAGCAUGUAUUCACGUCUUCUGUAAUUAAUAGAAGAGUGUGAGACUGGCAGCAGAGGUGACUAGGCAUUAUUUGCAUUAUAAAACACAUACACCAUUUCUUAAAAUAAUUGAACUCAAGCAGGCCUGACUUUUCCCUUCACUGUUAUUAGCAACCAGUAAAUUAAUAGUCAAUUUAGCUUAUUAUCUGUUGGUAUAGCUCAAGUCACAGAAUUGAAUAGCAAGAAAAUUCUUGGCAAUCAUUUCUAGUAAAGAAAUAGGCCUAAUCUGAUCUAACUUUCCUAUGUACCUAUAUGAAUAUAUCACAGUGAAUCUCACCAUCAAGUACAUCCAUAAAACACUAAUUAAAAAAAAAAAACUAUAAGUAAAUAGCAGAAAAAUCUGUAAAGAGGAAGCAUUGGAGACUGAAUUAGAACAAAUUACAUCCCAUGCUUUUAUAAUUGUGUCAAAAUGAAUCCUAUUGUCAUGUAUAACUAAAAAUAAACAAUAAAAUAUUUUUUAAAAGAAAUAGGCCUUAUAUAUAUCCAACAAUUUGACUUCAUUUCAGCUGUCCACAAACAGACAGAACAAAUAAUGAUUUUUAGAAAAGGGAAUUGAGUCUCCAUCCACUUUUCCUAAAGCUAAUAAAAACAAAAUAGCCACUGGGUUCAGGGCAUACCUGCAAUCCCAGCAUCUGGAGAGACUGAGGCAGGAGGAUCAUUAGUUCAAGGCCAGCCUCAGCAAUUUAGCUAGGCCCUAAGCAACUUAGCAAGACCCUGUCUUGAGAUUAAAUAUUAAAAAGGGCUGGGGAUUUGGCUCAGUGUUUAAACAACCCUGGGUUCAAUUCCCAGUACAAAAUAAAAAAGAAAAGAGCCAAAAGGUUUUAAACUCUAAAGGCAUAAAUUCCAUAAACAGGAUUGUAUUAGCUUAGUGAGGCAGAAAUAAAAUAGUUCUUAGCCAGAUUGUGAUUAAGACUACUCUAAUGGAUAACUUCAUAAUAAACAGAAUUUCAACGUAAAAAAUCUCAACCUUACAUGUGGACAAUUUUUAAGUUUAACUAGGCUAAAGCAAAAAGGUUAACUUAAGAACAAUUUUAAUUAAUAAGUGAAAAAAGAAUAAUAUUAAGAAUAACAUUUUAAUUAAUUCUGAAUUGUGUUUCUUUAAAGAACAACAGAAAUGUUUAUUAUUUCAGUACAACAUUGGAAAAGUUCAAAAAUUGAUUUUUUAAAACUUUUCGGCAACCAAUAAUUUUGACUUAAUAGUGAAUGUGAAGAAUAUUAAAUUAGAGCUUUCUGGAAUUUCAUUGUGAAAAGACAAAUGUGAGUAAAUUUUAUCUGAAAAAAUGUUAAGAGUGAUAUCUACAGUGUGAAAUUAUAGAGGUAUAUUAAUUGGUUAACUUUUCUAUUCAUGGCUCUAUUUCAUUUUGAUUAAUGAGGGUGAAAGAGAUAGAAAAGCAGACUUAGCAGAAAUGGUACCCAAAGACUCAAUUAACAACUCAGGACUACUCAUUAUAUAAGAAAUAUGUGCCAGACUUACAACAGGACAUCCCCGAUCUUAGACUGGCCUCAUUAGCCACCUCAGUCUCCCAGUUGAGAUAAUACUAAAGAUGCCAUCAUUGUCCACCACGAAAUUGCCAAAGGAGAGCUUCUCUGUGGUGGAAUGCAGGACUUCAGGGACUUAUAAAGAAACUACAACUCACCCAGAGCCCUGAGCAAAUCAAGAAUAUCUGAUUGUCGGUAUAAACUGGAAGCAGUCUACAUUUUAGAAAACAAAUUAUUUAGAAAAAAUAUGCAUUAUUUAAAAAUAAUUAAAGAAUAAAAAUUAUUAUACUUUAGACCAGGAGUUUACUUAGAAAGAAAGAAAACAUAUUUCAGGUUAUAGAUAAUCUACAGUCAAAUCAAUGAGUGCUGUGGAAGACAGGAUAGACUAAAUGCCAUUUUUAAAAAGAUAGUAAAACACUAGUGGAAAUAUUGAUGAAUUUUUAUCCUUAAAUAAAAAUUUAAGUCUUUAGAGCUUUUAUCAUGAUGAUAGCCCUCAAAACAGAUAUAUUCAUUCAUAUGCCUUCUUUCUCUCUCUCCUUUUAAGUGUUAUUUGGUAGGAGUUAGCAAUAAUGGAGUAAUUGUGAUGAUAUAAAAAACCAGAUUUCUAAAGAGUCCCUAGGAAUUAAAUCAUAUAUGAUAUAAUGGUAAAAAGUAAUAUUUGCUUGCAGAAAUGCAACUGAUCAAAAUUGUUGAAUAAAAUUAUUAAUCAUUUUCACUGCAAUAAUGUGAUUUAUUCUUAAUCUGAAACAACAUGUGAAUAUAGUAAAGGUUUUAAAAUAGAAAAAGUUGAGUCAACAAGUCUAUAUCUAGAAUUAGGUUCACAAAGCUUCAGAAAGAAGAAAAGUGUCAACAAAAAAACAACAAAAAGUGUAGUAAACUAAGAUCUGAGACAAGUUCUAAUUUCCAUAAUCUAUUGUGUAAUUUCCUAGCAACAUAUAUUUCAGCAGUACACUGAGGGUGAUGGAUUGUCCAAUAGAAUCACCUGAGAACUCUUCAUAAAGUUUGAUUUGUUAACUGGAAAUUCCAGUUUGGUUAUAUGGGCUGCUACAUAUUCUUCUAGACUUUUCCUUCCCUCUGCUCCCUUCUGUGUGGCCAUGUCACUGUUCUGCAGGAGAUGAGAAAGGGUAGACUGAAUUUCACAGAUAAUUACUCACAGAUCUCUGAUUAAAGUGUUGCUGAGGAAGAAUGCUGUAGUGAAGCUUUGCAAAUGAAGAAUUGGGACUUUGCAGGCUUCUUCUUGAGUCCAUGCCCUCAAGAUCACACGUACAGAUGAACAUAUGCUGAUAUCUUUUAUCAGUAGUUCAAAUGUAACUUUGAAUUAAAGGACUUACACUCAAGUAAUGAAGGUAAAAAAUUACUACGAUGGAACAAAAUGUGCCAAUUCUAUCCAAUAUGUGAAUUGUAAGGGUCAGUAAUCCAUAAACAAUUUGGAUUGUAAUCGUAUGUUUCAUUAAUGUAACGUAAUUUUGCACUAUUGUAUUGUCAUAUAUAUAUAAAAAUUAAAAAAUACCCUGAAACCUAAUGCCAAAUGUACAGUUUAUAGGUUCAUGUUAUUUCUGAUAAGAAUUUAAUUGCAUUAUGCUAAUAGUUGUUCAAUGCCAUUAACUUUCUGUGGGUGUAUCAUUGUGAUGCAGAUGUGAUACGGUUGUUGUAAGCACAUUAAUUACUCAUCUGAAUUUUUAUAGAUAAAAUCAUACAUUGAUCAGAUAUCACUUUUGUACUUAUUUUUUUGUAGAGUAUUUUUUCACACUUAAAAAAAACAUGUUUAUUUUAUAUCAAACAUCAGCUUUUCUUUAAAAUCUUAUUUUAGUAGCCAAUGCAUGUUUUAAAUAAGAUGUUAAAUAUUAUAUGACAAUAUUAAGAUUGUGUUUAUAUUAGGCAAAAAAAAUACGCAUGCAAUUGGUGAAUCAUGCAUCUUUCGGGGGGAGGGUUUACACUGCCAACUCACACACAGGCUUCAUUUCAAUCUGUGUGCAUGAUUCACAUCCUUACAAGUCCUUUUGAAACAUUCUGUAAAAUGAAGAUGUUAUUCUUAGUGCUAAUGAGCCAAUAGAUAAUGCUGCUUUGACUUUUUUUUUUCUUAACUUUGCAGCAUAUUGUACAAGUUUUCCCAAAAAGUUUCUUCCUGGACUUGUUAGCAAUAAAACACAACAAAUAAAAGCAUUUAUUGGUAAAUGAUACAAUUUAUAAUACAGAAAAAUAUUAUAAAGCAUGAAGAUGUGAAAAAAAAACUUAUCUUUACCAUGUGAAAAAAAAAACUUAUCUUUACCAGUUUCAUUCUAUGAACAAAAUAUUCUGGCAGCUUUGUCUAUAAUCAAGAAUGGUGUAUUUUUUGAAAUUUAUUUAUUUUACACUGCCAAAAUCAGUACUACUGCCAAGAGGGAAAAAUGCUUGAGGUCUGGUUUGCACAAUACUAGAGGGCGAUAACAUAAAGCAUCAUGCAAUACAGAGAGCCAAUCAGUAUAAUUGGCAGGGGAUAAAAAUGGUGGACUUAGCUUUUUUUUCUUAAUGACUUAAGAAAAUUCUAAAAUGUAUAAAUAAUAUGAAUUCUGGCUAAGAUACAUGACUUUACAUGCUGAUAAUUGAUAGGAAUCUUUGAAAAUGACAAAGAUCAUUCUAUUAAGAGAAGGGUGUUUUAGUUGUGUGUGUGUGUGUGUGUGUUAAUUUGGCUGUUUAUUUUUAGAAAAUAUACUUGUGUUUUGAAAGGUCUUAAUUUCAAACAGGAAAUAUGUGUAGGCCAACCACUCAUUCCCCAGAUGAAAUUAGUCAUUGAUCAUAUAUAUCAAGGCUAAAACAUAGCUUUUGGUAAUUUAAAAUACCAAGAUAAGCAUUUAUACUGUUAGAAGGUAAUUUCAUUGCUAGGUUAUUAAAACAGUGGGAAUUCUAUUUAUGCAGUUAUUUAUUUAUUUAUUUAUUUACAGAAGAUUGGUUCCUUUGAGUUCAAUUUUAAAAGAUUUAGUGAAGUUAAUAUAAUGGUAAGAAAAGUUGAUUGUAGCUACUAUUCCAAGUGAAAAGGAUAUCACUGAAUCUUGCUGUAUCCUUGGAGUAAAGCAUUAAUUCAAAAGAUGAGCAGUCAGUCCUAGCAAUGCAAAGGCCAACUACAUGAUCCAAGCUGUUGUGAGUGACAUUCAGCAACAUUGAUCUGGACUCUUAGUUUGAUACACAUCAUUUCCUUCAUUGACUCAUCCUGUAAAUAACAUAACACUUUAUGGCAGCUAAGCACUUGUUUUAAUAAGCCAUGAAAGGCAAGAUGCCAUAGGAAAUCUGUAUAUUCCACUACUUGGAGAACUGGUACUUUCCACAAUUAAACUGGAGGUGCCAUUUGAAAGUCCUUUCCCCUACAAAUGCCAUCCCAGUACAUAUUCUGGCUCAUGAUGUCUUUCUGGGCUUAUAAAUAUAUGGUGUGACUGCUGUAAUUUUGUGAAAUUUUGGUUAGCACUAAAUAAUGACUACUGCAAUCUGUGCUGAUUCCAAGGCAGAAAUAAUUGUUUAAGAAUUUGAGCCUGUUGUGUGUAAAAAAAAAAAAAUCUUUUUCAUAGGUCCUAUUUCCUAUAUUCAUUGUAAGUACCUCACUGAUUUAGCACUGGAAUUAUUCCUUGGAUGUGUAAAUAAUGUUUUAUUCAGGCCUAAUGAAUUCCUGUAAUGUGAAUAUUUAAAAUAAAAGACUUCAA
This 8676-nucleotide long non-coding RNA is filed under the name Marmota monax (woodchuck). Lineage: Eukaryota; Metazoa; Chordata; Mammalia; Rodentia; Sciuridae. The record is from RNAcentral.